UACGUAGGGUGCGAGCGUUAAUCGGAAUUACUGGGCGUAAAGCGUGCGCAGGCGGUUUUGUAAGCCAGAUGUGAAAUCCCCGGGCUUAACCUGGGAAUGGCAUUUGGGACUGCAAGGCUGGAGUGUGGCAGAGGAGACUGGAAUUCCUGGUGUAGCAGUGAAAUGCGUAGAUAUCAGGAGGAAUACCGAUGGCGAAGGCAGGUCUCUGGGCUGACACUGACGCUCAUGCACGAAAGCGUGGGGAGCAAGCAGG
Molecule: ribosomal RNA, 253 nt
Filed under: uncultured bacterium
Lineage: Bacteria
Description: partial 16S ribosomal RNA
Rfam family: Bacterial small subunit ribosomal RNA
Source: RNAcentral